This 492-nucleotide ribosomal RNA is filed under the name uncultured bacterium. Its description in RNAcentral is "bacterial SSU rRNA". It matches the Rfam family "Bacterial small subunit ribosomal RNA", at positions 28 to 507 of the family's 1533-position model. The record is from RNAcentral.
GAUGAACGCUAGCUACAGGCUUAACACAUGCAAGUCGAGGGGAAACGACAUCGAAAGCUUGCUUUUGGUGGGCGUCGACCGGCGCACGGGUGAGUAACGCGUAUCCAACCUGCCCAUCACUUGGGGAUAACCUUGCGAAAGUAAGACUAAUACCCAAUGACGUCUCUAGAAGACAUCUGAAAGAGAUUAAAGAUUUAUCGGUGAUGGAUGGGGAUGCGUCUGAUUAGCUUGUUGGCGGGGUAACGGCCCACCAAGGCGACGAUCAGUAGGGGUUCUGAGAGGAAGGUCCCCCACAUUGGAACUGAGACACGGUCCAAACUCCUACGGGAGGCAGCAGUGAGGAAUAUUGGUCAAUGGGCGGAAGCCUGAACCAGCCAAGUAGCGUGCAGGAUGACGGCCCUAUGGGUUGUAAACUGCUUUUAUAUGGGGAUAAAGUGAGUUACGUGUAGCUUAUUGCAGGUACCAUAUGAAUAAGGACCGGCUAAUUCCGUG